This is a non-coding RNA of Schizosaccharomyces pombe (fission yeast), 463 nucleotides long. The record is from the annotation of a GenBank genome assembly. Lineage: Eukaryota; Fungi; Ascomycota; Schizosaccharomycetes; Schizosaccharomycetales; Schizosaccharomycetaceae.
AAACAGAUAAAAUUGACAUGACUCUCAUUAAUUGCUAUACAAGAGUAAGUCGUAUUUACUUACAGAUGCUAACAUGAUGACUGAAAAUAUUGACGAAAUUAAUAUCAACCAUUUUUAUUGCUAUAUGCAAUUUGCUUAAUCAAUACUGUACCACUUUAAACACUGCCUGCUACAAUAGUGCAUAACUUCUAUUUCACUUGGUAUACAAACAAAAAAAAAACUCUACUUGUACAAGUAUAGACUCCAAUGAUUAAACCAAAGCAUCGAAACAUCUCAUUUAUUUUUAACUAACGACGAGCAGCAACCUUGGCAUUCUUAAUAGCUUGGCCACGAGCAGAGCUGGCAGCAGACUUGGCCUUGAUGGCCUUCUUUUCAGAUUCGGAGGCGGCCCUCUUAUCCUUACGUUGCUUCAAAGCAGCGGCACGGGCAGCAGCACGGACUUCAGGACGUUGGUUACGCUUCU